RNAcentral lists this ribosomal RNA (443 nucleotides) under uncultured bacterium. Its description in RNAcentral is "partial 16S ribosomal RNA". It matches the Rfam family "Bacterial small subunit ribosomal RNA", at positions 338 to 795 of the family's 1533-position model. The record is from RNAcentral.
CCUACGGGAGGCAGCAGUGGGGAAUAUUGGGCAAUGGACGCAAGCCUGAACCAGCAACGCCGCGUGAAGGAAGACGGCUUUCGGGUUGUAAACUUCUUUUAUCAGGGACGAAGCAAGUGACGGUACCUGCUGAAUAAGCCACUGCUAACUACGUGCCAGCAGCCGCGGUAAUACGGAGGCCGCAAGAGUUAUCGGGAUUUACUGGGUGUAAAGGGAGGGUAGGCGGGAGGGUAAGUCAGAUGUGAAAACUAUGGGCUCAACCCAGACACUGCAUGUGAAACUGUUCUUCUUGAGUGCAGGAGAGGCAAGCGGAAUUUCGUGUGUAGCGGUGAAAUGCGUAGAGAUACGGAGGAACACCAGUGGCGAAGGCAGAUUGCUGGACAGUAACUGACGCUGAGGCGCGAAAGCGUGGGGAGCAAACAGGAUUAGAUACCCGGGUAGUC